RNAcentral lists this ribosomal RNA (2766 nucleotides) under Escherichia coli. RNAcentral's name for it is "partial 23S ribosomal RNA". It matches the Rfam family "Bacterial large subunit ribosomal RNA". The record is from RNAcentral. Lineage: Bacteria; Pseudomonadati; Pseudomonadota; Gammaproteobacteria; Enterobacterales; Enterobacteriaceae.
UGAAUCCAUAGGUUAAUGAGGCGAACCGGGGGAACUGAAACAUCUAAGUACCCCGAGGAAAAGAAAUCAACCGAGAUUCCCCCAGUAGCGGCGAGCGAACGGGGAGGAGCCCAGAGCCUGAAUCAGUGUGUGUGUUAGUGGAAGCGUCUGGAAAGGCGCGCGAUACAGGGUGACAGCCCCGUACACAAAAAUGCACAUGCUGUGAGCUCGAUGAGUAGGGCGGGACACGUGGUAUCCUGUCUGAAUAUGGGGGGACCAUCCUCCAAGGCUAAAUACUCCUGACUGACCGAUAGUGAACCAGUACCGUGAGGGAAAGGCGAAAAGAACCCCGGCGAGGGGAGUGAAAAAGAACCUGAAACCGUGUACGUACAAGCAGUGGGAGCACAGAGCAAUCUGUGUGACUGCGUACCUUUUGUAUAAUGGGUCAGCGACUUAUAUUCUGUAGCAAGGUUAACCGAAUAGGGGAGCCGAAGGGAAACCGAGUCUUAACUGGGCGUUAAGUUGCAGGGUAUAGACCCGAAACCCGGUGAUCUAGCCAUGGGCAGGUUGAAGGUUGGGUAACACUAACUGGAGGACCGAACCGACUAAUGUUGAAAAAUUAGCGGAUGACUUGUGGCUGGGGGUGAAAGGCCAAUCAAACCGGGAGAUAGCUGGUUCUCCCCGAAAGCUAUUUAGGUAGCGCCUCGUGAAUUCAUCUCCGGGGGUAGAGCACUGUUUCGGCAAGGGGGUCAUCCCGACUUACCAACCCGAUGCAAACUGCGAAUACCGGAGAAUGUUAUCACGGGAGACACACGGCGGGUGCUAACGUCCGUCGUGAAGAGGGAAACAACCCAGACCGCCAGCUAAGGUCCCAAAGUCAUGGUUAAGUGGGAAACGAUGUGGGAAGGCCCAGACAGCCAGGAUGUUGGCUUAGAAGCAGCCAUCAUUUAAAGAAAGCGUAAUAGCUCACUGGUCGAGUCGGCCUGCGCGGAAGAUGUAACGGGGCUAAACCAUGCACCGAAGCUGCGGCAGCGACACUAUGUGUUGUUGGGUAGGGGAGCGUUCUGUAAGCCUGUGAAGGUGUGCUGUGAGGCAUGCUGGAGGUAUCAGAAGUGCGAAUGCUGACAUAAGUAACGAUAAAGCGGGUGAAAAGCCCGCUCGCCGGAAGACCAAGGGUUCCUGUCCAACGUUAAUCGGGGCAGGGUGAGUCGACCCCUAAGGCGAGGCCGAAAGGCGUAGUCGAUGGGAAACAGGUUAAUAUUCCUGUACUUGGUGUUACUGCGAAGGGGGGACGGAGAAGGCUAUGUUGGCCGGGCGACGGUUGUCCCGGUUUAAGCGUGUAGGCUGGUUUUCCAGGCAAAUCCGGAAAAUCAAGGCUGAGGCGUGAUGACGAGGCACUACGGUGCUGAAGCAACAAAUGCCCUGCUUCCAGGAAAAGCCUCUAAGCAUCAGGUAACAUCAAAUCGUACCCCAAACCGACACAGGUGGUCAGGUAGAGAAUACCAAGGCGCUUGAGAGAACUCGGGUGAAGGAACUAGGCAAAAUGGUGCCGUAACUUCGGGAGAAGGCACGCUGAUAUGUAGGUGAAGCGACUUGCUCGUGGAGCUGAAAUCAGUCGAAGAUACCAGCUGGCUGCAACUGUUUAUUAAAAACACAGCACUGUGCAAACACGAAAGUGGACGUAUACGGUGUGACGCCUGCCCGGUGCCGGAAGGUUAAUUGAUGGGGUCAGCGCAAGCGAAGCUCUUGAUCGAAGCCCCGGUAAACGGCGGCCGUAACUAUAACGGUCCUAAGGUAGCGAAAUUCCUUGUCGGGUAAGUUCCGACCUGCACGAAUGGCGUAAUGAUGGCCAGGCUGUCUCCACCCGAGACUCAGUGAAAUUGAACUCGCUGUGAAGAUGCAGUGUACCCGCGGCAAGACGGAAAGACCCCGUGAACCUUUACUAUAGCUUGACACUGAACAUUGAGCCUUGAUGUGUAGGAUAGGUGGGAGGCUUUGAAGUGUGGACGCCAGUCUGCAUGGAGCCGACCUUGAAAUACCACCCUUUAAUGUUUGAUGUUCUAACGUUGACCCGUAAUCCGGGUUGCGGACAGUGUCUGGUGGGUAGUUUGACUGGGGCGGUCUCCUCCUAAAGAGUAACGGAGGAGCACGAAGGUUGGCUAAUCCUGGUCGGACAUCAGGAGGUUAGUGCAAUGGCAUAAGCCAGCUUGACUGCGAGCGUGACGGCGCGAGCAGGUGCGAAAGCAGGUCAUAGUGAUCCGGUGGUUCUGAAUGGAAGGGCCAUCGCUCAACGGAUAAAAGGUACUCCGGGGAUAACAGGCUGAUACCGCCCAAGAGUUCAUAUCGACGGCGGUGUUUGGCACCUCGAUGUCGGCUCAUCACAUCCUGGGGCUGAAGUAGGUCCCAAGGGUAUGGCUGUUCGCCAUUUAAAGUGGUACGCGAGCUGGGUUUAGAACGUCGUGAGACAGUUCGGUCCCUAUCUGCCGUGGGCGCUGGAGAACUGAGGGGGGCUGCUCCUAGUACGAGAGGACCGGAGUGGACGCAUCACUGGUGUUCGGGUUGUCAUGCCAAUGGCACUGCCCGGUAGCUAAAUGCGGAAGAGAUAAGUGCUGAAAGCAUCUAAGCACGAAACUUGCCCCGAGAUGAGUUCUCCCUGACUCCUUGAGAGUCCUGAAGGAACGUUGAAGACGACGACGUUGAUAGGCCGGGUGUGUAAGCGCAGCGAUGCGUUGAGCUAACCGGUACUAAUGAACCGUGAGGCUUAACCUUACAACGCCGAAGGUGUUU